AUUGAACGCUGGCGGCAAGCCUAACACAUGCAAGUCGAACGAGUGGCGGACGGGUGAGUAAUGUCUGGGAAACUGCCUGAUGGAGGGGGAUAACUACUGGAAACGGUAGCCAAUACCGCAUACCAUCGGAUGUGCCCAGAUGGGAUUGGCUAGUAGGUGGGGUAAAGGCUCACCUAGGCGACGAUCCCUAGCUGGUCUGAGAGGAUGACCGGCCACACUGGAACUGAGACACGGUCCAGAAUCCUACGGGAGGCAGCAGUGGGGAAUAUUGCGCAAUGGGCGCAAGCCUGAUGCAGCAAUGCCGCGUGUAUGAAGAAGGCCUUCGGGUUGUAAAGCACUUUCAGCGGGGAGGCGUUACCCGCAGAAAAAGCACCGGCUAACUCCGUGCCAGCAGCCGCGGUAAUUC
RNAcentral lists this ribosomal RNA (406 nucleotides) under uncultured bacterium. RNAcentral's name for it is "partial 16S ribosomal RNA". It matches the Rfam family "Bacterial small subunit ribosomal RNA", at positions 30 to 526 of the family's 1533-position model. The record is from RNAcentral.